GCAAGUCGAGGGGUAACGGGGUGCUUGCACCGCCGACGACCGGCGCACGGGUGCGCAACGCGUAUACAAUCUGCCUUAUGCUGAGGGAUAGCCCAGAGAAAUUUGGAUUAACACCUCAUGGUAUCGGAAGACGGCAUCGUUUUUUGAUUAAAGGUUACGGCAUAAGAUGAGUAUGCGUCCCAUUAGCUAGUUGGUGUGGUAACGGCACACCAAGGCUACGACGGGUAGGGGUCCUGAGAGGGAGAUCCCCCACACUGGUACUGAGACACGGACCAGACUCCUACGGGAGGCAGCAGUGAGGAAUAUUGGACAAUGGGCGGAAGCCUGAUCCAGCCAUGCCGCGUGCAGGAAGACGGUCCUAUGGAUUGUAAACUGCUUUUAUACGGGAAGAAUAAGGGCUACGUGUAGCCUGGUGACGGUACCGUAAGAAUAAGGAU
RNAcentral lists this ribosomal RNA (437 nucleotides) under uncultured Gammaproteobacteria bacterium. RNAcentral's name for it is "bacterial SSU rRNA". It matches the Rfam family "Bacterial small subunit ribosomal RNA", at positions 57 to 493 of the family's 1533-position model. Lineage: Bacteria; Pseudomonadati; Pseudomonadota; Gammaproteobacteria. The record is from RNAcentral.